Molecule: long non-coding RNA, 622 nt
Filed under: Mus musculus (house mouse)
Lineage: Eukaryota; Metazoa; Chordata; Mammalia; Rodentia; Muridae
Description: long non-coding RNA chr9:99436755-99437377
Source: RNAcentral
AAAGCGACCGCGCACCCCGCGCCUCGGGAGCCUUCCGAGUGGCUGCGACGACCCCCAAACGGCACCACUGUGGGCAUUGGGACAGCUGGCACCGGGCAAGGGUCCCCUCGCCUCCACUCACUCACCACACGGAUCUGCAGUCUGUGAGCCGCCGAUAAGCCUAGGACACCUAAGGGGAAUUGGCCCCGGGCGGCUUUAAAAGAGCUGUAGGUUCAAUCUUUAACUCUUCGGGCUGCCAACUUCGGGACCUGCGGACGCCUCCCCAGUCCUUAGAAGAGUCCCGUCGCUUCAACCACGUCCCGAGGACCCCAAGAUUCCGAGGGCCUGCUGCUUGCUUUAGCUAGGUGCCAGAUUCAGGCCUCAAAGUUCUUGAGAAUUAGCCAGCGACCUGGAUAGGAGGCGGCGGCGACGUUCGCACACCAUUUAGCUCUUCCAUUGGGUUGGAGUCAUUCCCUACUCCCUAUCCCCGGCUUUCCCUUUUACAAGACUUGAGAUAUGAUCACAUAACGCUGAGUAUAUGCUUUUAAAGGCGUACGUUUCAGUGGGGUUUUGGUAUAACAAAGUUGUGCGACCAUAGUUAUUUAUCUAAUUCCAGAACAUUCGGGUCACUACUCCUUUCCCC